RNAcentral lists this ribosomal RNA (253 nucleotides) under uncultured bacterium. RNAcentral's name for it is "partial 16S ribosomal RNA". It matches the Rfam family "Bacterial small subunit ribosomal RNA", at positions 524 to 776 of the family's 1533-position model. The record is from RNAcentral.
UACGUAAGGAGCAAGCGUUGUCCGGAAUCAUUGGGCGUAAAGCGCGCGUAGGCGGCCCUGUAAGUCCGUUGUGAAAGUCAAAGGCUCAACCUUUGAAAGCCGAUGGAUACUGCAGGGCUAGAGUCCGGAAGAGGCGAGUGGAAUUCCUGGUGUAGCGGUGGAAUGCGCAGAUAUCAGGAGGAACACCAAUAGCGAAGGCAGCUCGCUGGGACGGUACUGACGCUAAGGCGCGAAAGCCAGGGGAGCGAACGGG